UACAGAGGGUGCAAGCGUUAAUCGGAAUUACUGGGCGUAAAGCGUGCGUAGACGGUAGCGUAAGUCGGGUGUGAAAGCCCCGGGCUCAACCUGGGAAUUGCAUUCGAGACUGCUCUGCUAGGGUGCGGAAGAGGGGAGCGGAAUUUCCGGGUGUAGCGGUGAAAUGCGUAGAUAUCGGAAGGAACACCAGUGGCGAAAGCGGCUCCCUGGUCCAGCACCGACGUCAGGCACGAAAGCGUGGGGAGCAAACAGG
RNAcentral lists this ribosomal RNA (253 nucleotides) under uncultured bacterium. Its description in RNAcentral is "partial 16S ribosomal RNA". It matches the Rfam family "Bacterial small subunit ribosomal RNA", at positions 524 to 776 of the family's 1533-position model. The record is from RNAcentral.